This 253-nucleotide ribosomal RNA is filed under the name uncultured bacterium. RNAcentral describes it as "partial 16S ribosomal RNA". It matches the Rfam family "Bacterial small subunit ribosomal RNA", at positions 524 to 776 of the family's 1533-position model. The record is from RNAcentral.
UACGAAGGGUGCAAGCGUUACUCGGAAUUACCGGGCGUAAAGCGUGCGUAGACGGUUAUGUAAGUUAGGUGUGAAAGCCCCGGGCUCAACCUGGGAAUUGCAUUUAAGACUGCAUAGCUAGGGUGCGGAAGAGGGAAGCGGAAUUUCCGGUGUAGCGGUGAAAUGCGUAGAUAUCUGAAGGAACACCAGUGGCGAAAGCGGCUUCCUGGUCCAGCACCGACGUUCAGGCACGAAAGCGUGGGGAGCAAACAGG